AAAGUCGUAACAAGGUUUCCGUAGGUGAACCUGCGGAAGGAUCAUUCAUAAUAAGUGUUCUACUGCACUUUUUAAAAAUAGUACUCACCUUGUGUGCAAUGUUGUGUUUCUUUUCGGAGAAACACCUACACCAACCUAUAACCUUGAACCACUUUGUCUGAAAAACUAUUAUGAAUACUUAAUUCAAAAUACAACUUUCAACAACGGAUCUCUUGGCUCUC
This 221-nucleotide unclassified non-coding RNA is filed under the name Mucoromycotina sp. RNAcentral's name for it is "partial contains small subunit ribosomal RNA, internal transcribed spacer 1, and 5.8S ribosomal RNA". The stretch from base 1 to 47 matches the Rfam family "Eukaryotic small subunit ribosomal RNA", at positions 1785 to 1831 of the family's 1831-position model. Lineage: Eukaryota; Fungi; Mucoromycota. The record is from RNAcentral.